This 2619-nucleotide long non-coding RNA is filed under the name Carassius auratus (goldfish). RNAcentral's name for it is "lncRNA (ENSCARG00000016340.1)". Lineage: Eukaryota; Metazoa; Chordata; Actinopteri; Cypriniformes; Cyprinidae. The record is from RNAcentral.
GUCAUCAUAAUAAAGAUAAGUAUGGUUUAUCCCACAUAUAUAUUUAAAGGUACAAUUUGUAAGAUAUUUGCAGUAAAAUAUCCAAAAACCACUAGGCUAGUGUUAUAUAUUUUGUCCAGCUGAUUAUUAACAAUAUCUGUAAUGUUUUCAACUACUUGUAAAUCAUGAGAAAAUUCCCAUUCUAAACAGUGACACGGGGCAGUGCAGUCGCCUCUCAAUGAUGUUAGUUACCCUUUGUUACCGCCUUUACUGACAUAGUGUCUAGCGUCCAGCAAACCACUAGCUUGCCUCAAGCACUUCCUUAUUUACUUCUUCUUGCAUGUUUUAGGGUGGAUUGUGUUACUUAUUUAUGGAACAUAAUUACUGUUUACCAUCUGCCGCUGGUUCUGUCGACAAGGACAGCUCCCGUAAACGUAAGCAUACGGGCCAACCAAACGACCCAAGAAGAGUUUGGGACAAGAGGAGAGAAAGAGUGAGGAUCAAUAUCGGUGUUGCAUUUUCUAGAUGGAGAGAGCUUUGUGACAAACUUCAACUAGAAAGAGAUGCCGAUCUCGCUUGUGUUUUACUCGACAGGGAGGUUGAAGGAGGCUCCAGUCUUUUGCAGUGAAUGACCCCCAACCGAGAGGUGAACAGAGCACAGGGGUUUUUCACAGAAGUCCACCUUAGACACACACAAUGCGCUGUAAGUAUGUGAAUGGAGUGUCCUUCAGACUUACAAACUCUAGACUGUUUCUAGGAUUUUUUUUUCUAUUGUGUUGUCUCAAGAAUGAUAAAUUGGGGGCUAAUGAAGGUCAUUUUGAUAACAAAAACAAUGAUACAUUAAUAAAGACUUACAUUUCGUCUUUUAACCUAUGAAUCUGUCAGCGGGAACAUUUCUUAUCUAAGCACAUACUUUCCAGACUAGCAUCACUAACUCCCCUAGUGCUGAAGACAUGUGUGGUUACUUGAUAGUUUUACAAGUCUAGCUCUCAAAUGAGGCCUUUUAGAAUAAAAGUUAUUUUGGAUUCAUUCAAAAAUAUUAUACAAUUGCAAAUCCCUAUUUAUUUAUAUUGAGUUUUUUUGCUCUAAUGUCUCCUAUCUGGCUCAGCUCCCAGUCCACAUGGAUCUGCAGACUGUUAAAAGAUGAUCUCAAUGUUUAACACAAGCUUUAUCUCUAACAAUUAUACUACCACCUAUUGGACAGUUUUAGCACAACAGUAACAGGUAUGCAGACUUGACAUUUCCACAGCAGCUCAGUUUAGUAAUGCAGGCUACAAGCACGAAAAGUAUUUAGACACGUAAGCCACAGUCUAAUUCUGUAAUAAUAGCUGGCAUUAUUUGUUUGCAAAUGUUUUUUUUUUCUUCUAAUGCUAUAUGUGUGGCACUGCUCUAAUGUCUAAGUACUCAGGGAAACCAUGUAUAUAUAUUACUGACAGCUUCCCAGCCGCAGUGGUUGGAUCAUAAUGAGCAAAUGGCCAUGUAAAUAAUUCAACAGGAGAACAAGACUGAUAGUGAUGGUGAGUGGAGGACAGUGAUGUCAUCUUAUGGCAGGUGGUCAUUUCCUCUGAAAGGCACAUUUGUCAUGGGGAGCAUCACGUGGAUCACAGCUCAAACUAACACCUACUGUAUUUAUAUUUCAAAGCCUGGAGUUUAAGCAGAUACGUGCAAAAGUGAGAGUAAAUGAUACGUGACAACAUGCGACACAUCCUUUUUCAGCGUCAGGUUUCAAUUAAAAAUGAAAUAUGACUGACUCUCCAACUUAUUUCAGAGAGAACUGGCGUGUUACAGAAGAAUCCUGGUUAUGUGGGUCAGGCUUCACUUUUUUUUUUUUUUAUGUUUACAAAUUCUUUUGGUGUCUCUGCGUGACCGCAUGUUUAGAUUUAAGUAUUAGAAUACAUUGUUCUUAAUGUGACUACAACUACAAAAAUGUAGUAUGCGUGCACUCUUUCUUUGCUCAGAAUGAGCUUAAGCUAUCUGAUUUGUUUAGGAGAGCCUCUGAAAGUCCCAUGGUAUCCACCUGAGAGGAAGCAAGAAAAGUGAGAAAAGGUCAAACUACGAUGGGAACAACAAAGGUGGACACAGACCCACAAAAAAGUUAUUCAUCUCAUUUCUGUUUAUCGACCGACCACCCAGAGGUCACUUACCAUCUGGUGCAUAUUGCGGACAAAAAAUGGCAAGCUCUUUUUUUAAAUUAUCAAGUUCUGGUCUGAUUGUCUGUCUGCUACACAGUUCCACAGAAUCGGCGUGCAAAUGCUUUUACUAGUCUGCUGGGAGAACAAAAUGUUAUUUUUGCAAAGUAAUACAAGCUACUACAAAGAACAACCUGCAGAUACUGGAUUUGGCGGUUUGACAUGAGUUAUCUGGAAUAAAUUCUGUACUGUUUUUGCUUAGUAAUAGUCCCAAUUGGAUAUCCCUGUACAUAACUGAGUGCCUGAUUAAUUGGCAGCUUACUUUUGGAUAGACAGAAAUUUGGAUUACUGUCACACAUGUGGGCGGUUCUAGACCAGAAACAUUGCAAAAGGACAAGGCACAAUCAGAUAACUGACAUAAACUGUACGCAGAGUAGAAUAGAAAACAAACACUGUGACUCAACUCAACAAAGUGGAAAAGACAAAAAAAAGGUGAAUGUUUCCUUUCCUG